This 305-nucleotide ribosomal RNA is filed under the name uncultured bacterium. Its description in RNAcentral is "bacterial SSU rRNA". It matches the Rfam family "Bacterial small subunit ribosomal RNA", at positions 338 to 660 of the family's 1533-position model. The record is from RNAcentral.
CCUACGGGGGGCAGCAGUGGGGAAUAUUGCACAAUGGGGGAAACCCUGAUGCAGCAACGCCGCGUGGGUGAAGAAGUAUUUCGGUAUGUAAAGCCCUAUCAGCAGGGAAGAGAAUGACGGUACCUGACUAAGAAGCCCCGGCUAACUACGUGCCAGCAGCCGCGGUAAUACGUAGGGGGCAAGCGUUAUCCGGAUUUACUGGGUGUAAAGGGAGCGUAGACGGUUGUGCAAGUCUGAAGUGAAAGCCCGCGGCUCAACUGCGGAACGGCUUUGGAAACUGUGUAACUGGAGUGCUGGAGAGGUAA